CUUGAGAUAGCAGAAAGCCAUGAGCUGAUGAGUGGAAAUCCCUGGGCUUUCUAAUUAAUGGAGGUACACAGGCCCGGAGGAUGAGGCGGAUCAGGGAAAUGACAUCAGAGGGGAGAUAGCAUCACUCAUUUCUCCGCUCUAUUGUCACCCUAUGGGAUCGGCUGAAAUGAAUCGCUCGAGCAUCCGCCGAUAGAUUUGAAUGGAGCAUCCCGAUCAAACGACCAAAUCGAGGCUUGGGCAACAGGUGGGGUUCAUCCCUCAAAGCUGCAGGGAUCUUACAAAUGAACAGAGGAGAUUUUGUCGAUACGCCAUAUAAGGAGAAAGGGGAGGGGCUGUGUUUCAGAAAAGAAAACACAAGCCCGAGAAGAGCCUCAAAAUGGAGAGACAAAAAUGACAAGAGCGCAGAGAAAACAAAGAAAAUGAGAAAUAAAAGACGAAGAGAGUAGAAGAUGUGAAGAAGUGUGUUGCUGGGCAGAGGGUUGGCGCUGAACGCAGGGUUGGCAGGCAGGGUGGAGAAGCGGGCACGCUCGCAGACAUCUGUUGGCGCUCUGCGGCUGCUGGAGGGAGGGCGCUUUGCCAUGACCGGCGGGAA
Molecule: long non-coding RNA, 592 nt
Organism: Triplophysa dalaica
Lineage: Eukaryota; Metazoa; Chordata; Actinopteri; Cypriniformes; Nemacheilidae
Exons: 3
Source: RefSeq, a predicted model, not a curated record